UACGUAGGUGGCAAGCGUUAUCCGGAAUUAUUGGGCGUAAAGAGCGCGCAGGUGGUUGAUUAAGUCUGAUGUGAAAGCCCACGGCUUAACCGUGGAGGGUCAUUGGAAACUGGUCGACUUGAGUGCAGAAGAGGGAAGUGGAAUUCCAUGUGUAGCGGUGAAAUGCGUAGAUAUUGGGAGGAACACCAGUGGUGAAGACGGCUUUCUGGUCUGUUGCUGACGCUGAGGAGCGAAAGCCAGGGGAGCGAACCGGAUUAGAUACCCCGGUA
RNAcentral lists this ribosomal RNA (269 nucleotides) under uncultured prokaryote. RNAcentral's name for it is "partial 16S ribosomal RNA". It matches the Rfam family "Bacterial small subunit ribosomal RNA", at positions 524 to 792 of the family's 1533-position model. The record is from RNAcentral.